Molecule: ribosomal RNA, 440 nt
Filed under: uncultured bacterium
Lineage: Bacteria
Description: partial 16S ribosomal RNA
Rfam family: Bacterial small subunit ribosomal RNA
Source: RNAcentral
CCUACGGGGGGCAGCAGUGGGGAAUCUUGCACAAUGGGGGAAACCCUGAUGCAGCGACGCCGCGUGGGUGAAGAAGUGUUUCGGCGCGUAAAGCCCUGUCAGCAGGGAAGAAAAUGACGGUACCUGACUAAGAAGCACCGGCUAACUACGUGCCAGCAGCCGCGGUAAUACGUAGGGGGCAAGCGUUAUCCGGAUUUACUGGGUGGAAAGGGGGCGCAGGUGGCGCGCCAAGCCAGGAGUGAAAGCCCUGGGCCCAACCCGGGGACUGCUCUUGAAACUGCCAGGCUUGAGUGCAGGAGGGGAAAGCGGAAUUCCAAGUGUAGCGGUGAAAUGCGUAGAUAUCAGGAGGAACACCAGUGGCGAAGGCGGCUUGCUGGACUGCAACUGACGCUGAGGCUCGAAAGCGUGGGGAGCAAACAGGAUUAGAUACCCUUGUAGUC